CUAACGUGGACCCGUAAUCCGGGUUGCGGACAGUGUCUGGUGGGUAGUUUGACUGGGGCGGUCUCCUCCUAAAGAGUAACGGAGGAGCACGAAGGUUGGCUAAUCCUGGUCGGACAUCAGGAGGUUAGUGCAAUGGCAUAAGCCAGCUUGACUGCGAGCGUGACGGCGCGAGCAGGUGCGAAAGCAGGUCAUAGUGAUCCGGUGGUUCUGAAUGGAAGGGCCAUCGCUCAACGGAUAAAAGGUACUCCGGGGAUAACAGGCUGAUACCGCCCAAGAGUUCAUAUCGACGGCGGUGUUUGGCACCUCGAUGUCGGCUCAUCACAUCCUGGGGCUGAAGUAGGUCCCAAGGGUAUGGCUGUUCGCCAUUUAAAGUGGUACGCGAGCUGGGUUUAGAACGUCGUGAGACAGUUCGGUCCCUAUCUGCCGUGGGCGCUGGAGAACUGAGGGGGGCUGCUCCUAGUACGAGAGGACCGGAGUGGACGCAUCACUGGUGUUCGGGUUGUCAUGCCAAUGGCACUGCCCGGUAGCUAAAUGCGGAAGAGAUAAGUGCUGAAAGCAUCUAAGCACGAAACUUGCCCCGAGAUGAGUUCUCCCUGAGACUUAGAGUCUCCUGAAGGAACGUUGAAGACGACGACGUUGAUAGGCCGGGUGUGUAAGCGCAGCGAUGCGUUGAGCUAACCGGUACUAAUGAACCGUGAGG
RNAcentral lists this ribosomal RNA (700 nucleotides) under Salmonella enterica subsp. enterica serovar Concord. Its description in RNAcentral is "partial 23S ribosomal RNA". It matches the Rfam family "Bacterial large subunit ribosomal RNA", at positions 2222 to 2915 of the family's 2925-position model. The record is from RNAcentral. Lineage: Bacteria; Pseudomonadati; Pseudomonadota; Gammaproteobacteria; Enterobacterales; Enterobacteriaceae.